RNAcentral lists this ribosomal RNA (467 nucleotides) under uncultured bacterium. Its description in RNAcentral is "partial 16S ribosomal RNA". It matches the Rfam family "Bacterial small subunit ribosomal RNA", at positions 28 to 507 of the family's 1533-position model. The record is from RNAcentral.
GACGAACGCUGGCGGCGUGCUUAACACAUGCAAGUCGAACGGAAAGGCCCUGCUUUUGUGGGGUGCUCGAGUGGCGAACGGGUGAGUAACACGUGAGUAACCUGCCCUUGACUUUGGGAUAACUUCAGGAAACUGGGGCUAAUACCGGAUAGGAGCUCCUGCUGCAUGGUGGGGGUUGGAAAGUUUCGGCGGUUGGGGAUGGACUCGCGGCUUAUCAGCUUGUUGGUGGGGUAGUGGCUUACCAAGGCUUUGACGGGUAGCCGGCCUGAGAGGGUGACCGGCAACAUGGGGACGGAGAUACGGCCCAGACUCUUACGGGAGGAAGCAGUGGGGAAUAUUGAACAAUGGGCGGAGGCCGGAGGCAGAAACGCGGCGGGCGGAUGACGGCCUUCGGGUUGUAAACCGCUUUCGCCUGUGACGAAGCGUGAGUGACGGUAAUGGGUAAAGAAGCACCGGCUAACUACGUG